Molecule: unclassified non-coding RNA, 532 nt
Filed under: Hevea brasiliensis (rubber tree)
Lineage: Eukaryota; Viridiplantae; Streptophyta; Magnoliopsida; Malpighiales; Euphorbiaceae
Source: RNAcentral
AACAAAUUUUUCAUUCAGAGUGAAAGAAGACAUGAGAUUCUGAAAUAAACUACAAAUGCUUCUGAAAUAAACUACAAAUGCCAACUUGGACGCUCCUAAUGUGUUUUUCUUCUUUAUACUCCUCUAACAUAUUUCAAAAUACAAGUGACCAAGUGUGACCAUUUACUUACCAAGACAAAAAAGGACAAAAGAUAGAAGUAAAAACAAAAGUAAACAAUAAAGAUGAUUUUAAGAGGACAUCUUAUACUUCAUGCUGUAUUUUCUACAAAGGCAAGCCUUGGCACCGUGGUAAGGUUAACCUUUGUGACUAGAAGGCCAUGGGUUUAAAUCAUGGAAACAGGAUCUCUGAAAAAAUAAUGCAACAGAGGCUGUGGUGCUGUGCACAAAAUAGAUAACCAUACCUUCCCCUAAUUGUCACAAAGCAGGGAAUCUAAUGCACUGGGUACGCCCCUCAAAAGACUUUUAAAAUAUAAAAAGAAACUAAAUAAUGGCCAUCUCGGGAAAAAAUGUUCCACCAAUCAAACAAGCAGAA